This is a long non-coding RNA of Gymnodraco acuticeps, 369 nucleotides long. RefSeq lists it as uncharacterized. The record is from RefSeq and is a predicted model, not a curated record. NCBI's taxonomy places the organism in Eukaryota, Metazoa, Chordata, Actinopteri, Perciformes, Bathydraconidae. The transcript has 3 exons.
UGCAGCUGAGAGCCCACCUGAAGAGCCCCGGCCUGAAUCCACUAUUUCUCUUCCUGCUGACUCACCCGACGCGUCCACUUACACAACCUCUCAGAAUACCCGCUGUGAUUCUCGAGGUGUUCAGGGAUGGGAGGCUGUGGAUGACUUGGCCAAGUAUCUUGUUCUACUUAAUAGAACAAUAACGGCAUUAUCACUAGGCGAGACGGAUGACAUAGUGAGGCUGUAUUCAAAGCUACAUCAAAUGGAUAAGCAACCCACAACCUAUAGCCUGAAGUCCAAAAAAAGGACCUUGCCUGGACCAUGGAGAGCUUCCAGGAAACGAAGUGGCUCUGCGCCAGGCCAACAAGCAGCUGAAAGACUAUUCAUGAC